This 71-nucleotide transfer RNA is filed under the name Nothobranchius kuhntae (Beira killifish). RNAcentral describes it as "tRNA-Thr". It matches the Rfam family "tRNA". From Rfam's summary of the family: Transfer RNA (tRNA) molecules are approximately 80 nucleotides in length. Their secondary structure includes four short double-helical elements and three loops (D, anti-codon, and T loops). The record is from RNAcentral. Lineage: Eukaryota; Metazoa; Chordata; Actinopteri; Cyprinodontiformes; Nothobranchiidae.
GUACUAAUAGCUUAAAAAUAAAGCAUUAGUUUUGUAAACUAAAAAUGAAGGUUAAACCCCAUCUUAGUACU